Molecule: ribosomal RNA, 490 nt
Filed under: Clostridioides difficile
Lineage: Bacteria; Bacillati; Bacillota; Clostridia; Peptostreptococcales; Peptostreptococcaceae
Description: bacterial SSU rRNA
Rfam family: Bacterial small subunit ribosomal RNA
Source: RNAcentral
UGCAUGGUUGUCGUCAGCUCGUGUCGUGAGAUGUUGGGUUAAGUCCCGCAACGAGCGCAACCCUUGUCUUUAGUUGCCAUCAUUAAGUUGGGCACUCUAGAGAGACUGCCAGGGAUAACCUGGAGGAAGGUGGGGAUGACGUCAAAUCAUCAUGCCCCUUAUGCUUAGGGCUACACACGUGCUACAAUGGGUAGUACAGAGGGUUGCCAAGCCGUAAGGUGGAGCUAAUCCCUUAAAGCUACUCUCAGUUCGGAUUGUAGGCUGAAACUCGCCUACAUGAAGCUGGAGUUACUAGUAAUCGCAGAUCAGAAUGCUGCGGUGAAUGCGUUCCCGGGUCUUGUACACACCGCCCGUCACACCACGGGAGUUGGAGACGCCCGAAGCCGAUUAUCUAACCUUUUGGAAGAAGUCGUCGAAGGUGGAAUCAAUAACUGGGGUGAAGUCGUAACAAGGUAGCCGUAUCGGAAGGUGCGGCUGGAUCACCUCCUUU